UUUAAAUACAUUUUUUUUAGAAAAAACACAAGUUAUUUAUUUUAUUUUAUUCAUUAAGGCUUCGUUUUGGAUUGCGGAGAGAUUGCGUUAUGUGCAAUCAGAAAGUACGUUGGAAAAAUAUUAUAUUUAUUUUCGUACAUAAUAUUGCGUUCCGCAUAUCGCGAUGAGUCGAUUACAAUAUAUUUUCUGCGGUUUCAUCGGAGAACGCUAAAGCAUAUCCCUAUAUAUUUUUUCUUCAACUCUAUUUUAUCUAAUAGCGUUAGAUAGGUCUCAAUACCAAACUAAGUCUAAGUAUGUUAAUUAAGCAACAGUUGGUGAAGCAUUUUGUGAGUGCAAAAUCAUAUUGGUAUUUGCUUCUGUCUCAAUACUUUUUUUUUUUUUUUUUGAGAAAUGGAUGGCAUGCUACUCGCUUCUGUCUCAAUUUUUUUUUAAUGUCUACUAUC
Molecule: long non-coding RNA, 443 nt
Filed under: Ananas comosus (pineapple)
Lineage: Eukaryota; Viridiplantae; Streptophyta; Magnoliopsida; Poales; Bromeliaceae
Description: long non-coding RNA (ACOM_LNC025052)
Source: RNAcentral